GUAACAAAAAUGCCAAAAUGCAUGGAAAUCACCCAAUAUGGAUAAAAUAAAGGACAUUACGAGAAAGAUGCCAUUAGUGUUUUUGAGCGUCUUAGGUACCAAACGCGAAAAAUCUUCCAAGUGGCUUCCAUCUCCUACUGUGACCUUGGAAUUUUACUUAUGUAUAUAUAUACCUCUCUUCUAAAACUUAAAUAGUGCCUUAUCUUUUUUAUUUGGCCAGAUUACUUUGGUGCAUUUUUUCAUUCAUUCCACCACUCCAUAGUUAGCUCAAUUUGCAUAAGAUUUCAUGCUGCAUCAUUCAAAAAAGGUUUUUUAUUCUCCUCUAUUUUCAAUCUACAUGCUCCUCUCAUCAUCCACUUGUGGUUGCUGCACCAUCUUCUACAUCUGAAUCUGUUAUUAUAAGUCAAUGAGAGUACUAUUCCUGAAGUCCUGCUUACAGUAAAUUCUGCUAAUAGAUUUUGCUUGAUAAGUUCCACUUUGCAUUAUGUGGUAAUUAGUACAUAAUAAAUACUAUACAUGCCAGUGCUGGAUGGCAUUGAUAACCUAGUAGUCUCUUGUUAUGUUUUUAUAAUAUUCACAAAUAUAAUUAUGUAUGUUCAUGUUUUAUUAGUAUUGUAGAAUGAUGGGUGCACCAGGUGGUCAUUUUAAAUAGUACAAAUAUCUUUGUAUCAUAUUGAAAGUCCCCUAAUCUCCAGACUGACCCCAUAUUCCUGUGGAGCCUCAAGUGCAGCUGUCACGUCCCAAAGCUCGGAAAAAGACCAAAACUGCAGGAAAAGGCAAAUUAUCCCCGGUAUCAGAGCCUGACCUUGAACCUGAGCUUGUUUUAGCAACCAAAGAAGUGGCUAAAAGUCUUGGUGGGGAUGUGAAGGAAACUGAGUCUGAGCUUCUGUCCACCUUGCGCCUCCACUCUUCAGAGACUACCACUGGCACUGCCCCAUCUCUCAGGUUGUGCGUGUCUCCAGCACCCUGCAGUACGUACACACACACACACACAGACAGACGGACAUCAUCAGAGAAAGAAAUUGCUAUGUUCUGUAAAAGUUUAUAAGACAUUAAAAAAAUAAAGGGUUAAGGUUCAAUUAUUUUUCUCUCUCCUUUCUGACUCAAAAAAUAAUUAUUAAACUAUAAGUCAAUAUAUCAAAAUUUAAUCCUUAUAGAAAAGUUUAGUAUGUUACAAUAAUAAGUAAUAAUAAUAAAAUAACAACAAAAUAUUAACUUGAUAAUAAUAAUAAUAAUAAUAAUAAUAAUAAUAAUAAUAAUAAUAAUAAUAAUAAUAAUAAUAAUAAUAAUAGUAAAAAACAUGAAUAUUUUCUAUGGAUGGAUAUUUUUGUAUGAAUACUAGUUAAUAUUAUUAUUAUUAUUAUUAUUAUUAUUAUUAUUAUUAUUAUUAUUAUUAUUAUUAUUAUUAUUAUUAUCAUUAUCAUUAGAAGGCACCUGACCUCUCUCUCUCUCUCUCUCUCUCUCUCUCUCUCUCUCUCUCUCUC
Scylla paramamosain (green mud crab) is the source of this 1484-nucleotide long non-coding RNA. RefSeq lists it as uncharacterized. The transcript has 3 exons. The record is from RefSeq and is a predicted model, not a curated record. NCBI's taxonomy places the organism in Eukaryota, Metazoa, Arthropoda, Malacostraca, Decapoda, Portunidae.